UGCCAUUUCAUGAAUAUUACAUACAUGAUACAUCACCAAGGGCAGUGUUUUUUUCACUUGAGCAUUGAACUAAUCUACCUGGAUAUUGUUACAACCGUAAAUACAUGGUACAUCAAGCAUCAAUUUCAUUCACAACUUUCUCAUGGAUGAGGCCAUUAAUGUCAUCCCAGGCAUCAACAAGUUAAAUCACAAUGUAAAACGAAGCUUCAAAUUUGUUUGCUUGAAUUUCUCCAUCCCCAAGGUACAUUAAGAAUCACCCGUACUUUAAUUACAUGUUUACGAAUUUAUUGAAUAAAUAUUAAGUACUUACACACACACACACACAAAUGGGGUUUAUGCUCAGUAUGUGAAUGAACAAGUAAAAAUAAUUGUAUUAUGCAUUUUCGGGUAAACUAACUGAUGAGAUUAGCAGCAACGUGUAGCAUAAACCGGUGGGAGAUGGAAGGACUACUGGUAUACUAGUCGGCAAAGAGUGCUCCGAUUGGGGAUGAGUGCUUCGGUCGGCCAAGGCACGGUGACGAGAGGGAGGCGACGAGAGGGAAGGAGGGUUUGGAACAUUAUCUCUUUCCUUUUGAUUUCCCGCUUCUGGUUUUGCCCCUCUUGUUUUCUUUCUUUAGUUUUUUCUUCUUCUUCUUCUUCUUCUUUUUUUUUUUUUAAUUGUGCAAUAAUUGCCACGUAAACGAAAAUUCAAUUGCCUUUUUUCAUUCCUGGCUGACUAGCAUUAUUCUAUCUAUAUACCCCUUUAAAUUUGAAGUCAAAACAAGAAGAUGCGUUUUUUAAAAGCAGUCUUCUGGGCAAUCGCGCCAAACUCCAAUCGAUUAAUAAUGCCUCUCUAAUUUCCCAAACCUAAAAAAAAUUUCUGGUAAGAUUUUUUUCUUCUUCUUUCAGUAAUUCAAUAGUUCGAUUUAACUAUUAUUAUGCUUGCAUAGCAGAAUUAAUUCAAUUAUUCCUUCGAGCAUAUGAUGGUGAUAAAUAUGAUUUAAAAGUAGUGUAUGGGAUGUGAUGAAAUUUUAUGGUUUGCUCCUUUGCUUGGUUGGGUCUAUUGUUUAUAGAUAGUGUUAUAUCUGAUUGAUCUCUGGGCUCCGGCACACGGCUAUACUUCCGAUCGAGAAUAAGCACAUAACUGGGUAUCCGUUUCCCCUUAACUUGUAUGCCAUUUCAGUUGUUUCACAAUUAAUUUACGCAUCAUGCAGUCCUCGAAUCAUUGGUUCCUAAUGCGUGGUUGGUGCUACCAUUUCCCAAUCCCUGUUUUGGAGAAUCCAUACUGCCUAGGAAGACAUCAGGGCUAGAGGUGUGCUACUUCUCACUACAAGUAAUAAGCCUUUCACCUCAUGGCGGUGGGAUAUUCCACUGGCCACCACGUUACAUCACGAUACUGAAUUGGCUUCAGACUAACAAUUGCACCUGCAGGCUGCAGCCAUAUGCAUGCAAGGAGCAGGCCCAACACUAUAGCUGCAGUGGCAAAAGGGCUUACUGGCUCAACAGCUCCUCUGCUGUCAAAGGUAGAAUCUGCAGCAGGAGAUGCACAUUGUGUGCAUGCAGGAAGCCAUGUUUGAAGUCUUGAAGGUAGUUCAAGUAACCUGCACCGAAUAUAGAGUGGGGCAGGCACCAGAAUAUCUAAAGGUGUGGUUCUAUCUAGGAAAUAUGGGGGCAUAGAAUUCUCCUAGAGCUUGGACAUGUAUUCAGAGGCUAGAUAUACCACGUUCCAGUAUGUUCUUUAGUAUAUUCAAUACAUGAAAUUUAAUAUACAAUUGAGAGAGAUUCUGUAGGAUGGCAUCCAGUCUGUAGGGUGGUAUCCAGAUAUUCCUAUUUCUAUAUAAGUUUUUGGAAAGAUUCUAGAAAACUUCCCUCAAGCAUUGGAUAAAUGAAUUUCCACCAUCCAUUGAGGUGGAAGCUACAAAUGGCGAGCAAAGGCCCUAAUUUUCAAAACAAUGAAGGGACUGUUGUAAACAAGACGAAGGAGAAAGAGGCACAUUUCUUCCAAACUCUCUUGUGCACUUACUUUAGUUAAUUACUUGGUUUACCUUUUAGCUAUCUAGUUAGGUAAUGCACGCAGAUUGCUUACAUGGUCUGUUGUGGUUGUCAAAAAUUUGAUUGCAUUAUAUCUUCACAUAAAUGUAGCAAUGGACUGAGUGGAGCGAUUUAGUAAACUGCCGACUCCAAAUUAUUUGGAGUGGGACUUCUGCUGCUGUUGUUUGAGUUAGGUAGCCUGACUUUGAU
RNAcentral lists this long non-coding RNA (2220 nucleotides) under Olea europaea subsp. europaea. The record is from RNAcentral. Lineage: Eukaryota; Viridiplantae; Streptophyta; Magnoliopsida; Lamiales; Oleaceae.